RNAcentral lists this ribosomal RNA (439 nucleotides) under uncultured bacterium. Its description in RNAcentral is "partial 16S ribosomal RNA". It matches the Rfam family "Bacterial small subunit ribosomal RNA", at positions 339 to 795 of the family's 1533-position model. The record is from RNAcentral.
CUACGGGAUGCAGCAGUGGGGAAUAUUGGACAAUGGAGGCAACUCUGAUCCAGCCAUGCCGCGUGAGUGAUGAAGGCCUUAGGGUUGUAAAGCUCUUUCAGAUGUGACGAUGAUGACGGUAACAUCAGAAGAAGCCCCGGCUAACUUCGUGCCAGCAGCCGCGGUAAUACGAAGGGGGCUAGCGUUGUUCGGAAUUACUGGGCGUAAAGCGCGCGUAGGCGGCUUGAUCAGUCAGAGGUGAAAUCCCAGGGCUCAACCCUGGAACUGCCUUUGAUACUGUCAAGCUAGAGCUCGGAAGAGGGUGGCGGAAUAUCCAGUGUAGAGGUGAAAUUCGUAGAUAUUGGAUAGAACACCAGUGGCGAAGGCGGCCACCUGGUCCGUAGCUGACGCUGAGGUGCGAAAGCGUGGGGAGCAAACAGGAUUAGAUACCCGCGUAGUC